Long non-coding RNA from Bos taurus (domestic cattle), 2538 nucleotides. Lineage: Eukaryota; Metazoa; Chordata; Mammalia; Artiodactyla; Bovidae. The record is from Ensembl.
UGGAUAGACUUACUACGGACAUUACUAUGGAUGUCAAAAUAUUUGAGCUGAGACUGAGGUGAUGAAAAGGAACCGGACAUACAGACAUCUGGGAGAAAGUUGUUUCAGGAAGAGACAACAGAAGGUGCAAAGUUCCAGACUUUUGAGUGAGGUUGGCAUGCUUCAGGAACCAAAAGAGGUCCACCUACGUGUCUGACCUACGGCAAGGGAAGUGGAUAUCUCAGGAGGCAUGUGGGAUCUCAACUCCCCAACCAGAGACUGAGUCCACCACACCCCCUGCAUUGGAAGGUGAAGUCAACCACUGGACCACUGGGAUCCAGCUUUGCCCAGGGAUCAAACCCAAGCCGCCUCCAUUGGGAAGUGGGAGCCUUAGCCGCUGGACCACCGGGGACAUCCCUCUCACUGUCAUUUUGAUUCAAUUUCCCUGCUGCUGCUGCUGCUGCUAAGUCGCUUCAGUCGCGUCUGACUCUGUGCGACCCCAGAGACGGCAGCCCACCAGGUUCCCCCGUCCCUGGGAUUCUCCAGGCAAGAACACUGGAGGGGGUUGCCAUUUCCUUCUCCAAUGCAUGAAAGUGAAAAGUGAAAGUGAAGUCGCUCAGUCGUGUCCGACUCCUAGCGACCCCAUGGACUGCAGCCUACCAGGCUCCUCCAUCCAUGGGAUUUGCCAGGCAAGAGUACUGGAGUGGGGUGCCAUUGCCCUCUCCCUAAUGACUAGCAAUUUGGCACAGUUUUUCAUGUGUAUAUUUGUCAGAUACAUAUCUUCUUUGAUGUCAUGUCUGUUCAAAUCUUUAGCUCAUUUUUCUACUGGGUUGUUUGUUUUUUAUUAUUGAGUUUUAAGAUACUACUGUUGACUGAAUUGUGUCCCCACAAAUUCAUACGUUGAAGCACUAACCCCCUAUCCCACUACUUCAUGUAUUUGGAAACAGAAGUUUUAGAGGUUAAUUAAGAUUAAUGAGGUCAUAAGGUUGGAGUCUAAGAAUUGGUGGCCUUACAGGAAGGUAGUGCCUGGGCCCUGAGGACAGGCUUUGUGAGGACACGGGAAACAGGCUGAUGCUACGGGCCAGAAAUAGAGUCCUCACCAGCGCUCAGCCCUGCUGGCACUCUGAUCUCAGAUUUCUAGACUCCAGAACUGAGAGAAAAUAAAUUUCUGCUGGUUAAGCCACCCAGUCAAUGGAAUUUUUGUUAUGAAUCCUGAGCACACGAGAUGGAUUACAUAUAUCUGAUACGUAUGGAUAUGUAGACAUACACCCACAUGUAUGUAACAUAUGCAUUUUUCUUAUUACAAGCCCUUAUGAGAUAUAUGCUUUGCAAAUACUUUCUCACAGUCUCAGGCUUUUCCUUCCAUUUUAAAAACUGUUUAUAGAAGAACAGAUGUUUUUAGUUUUGAUAAAGUUCAAUUUAUUAAUUCUUUCCUUUUGGAAACAUGCUUUGUGUGUCAAAUAUAAGAAAACAUCGCCUAACUCAAGGUCCCAAAGAUUUUCUCCUGUGUUUUCCCUUAGGAAUUUUAUAGGUUUAUGUUUUAGGUUUCAGUCUGUAAUUAAUUUUGAGUUAAUUUGUGUUUCAUGCAAAGUAUGAAGCAAAGUACAGUGGGGGUUUUCUUCAUGUAGAAAUACAGUCACUACAUAUUGUAGCUUUAUAAUAAAUUUUGAAGUCAUGUAGUGUUAGUCUUCCAACUGUAUUCUUCUUUUUUCAAAGUUGUUUUGGCUACUGUAGGUCUGCAUUUCUAAAUAAAUUUUGGGAUCACUGUGAUUUUCUUUUUUAAAAUAUUUAUUUUGCUGCACAGGGUCUUAGUUGCAGACUAUGGGAUCUUAGUUCCCUGACCAGGGACUGAACUCGGGCCCCUUGCAUUUGGAGCAUGGAGUCUUAACCACUGGACACCCAGGGAAAUUCCUCAAUUAAAAAAAUAUAUAUAUCUGCUGGGAUUUUGAUUGAGAUUUCAUUGAAUAUAUACACCACUUGGGGGGAAUUAACAUUUUAGCAAUGGUGGGUGUUUCUGAUCUUUGAACACAGUGCAUGCGUGCUAGGUCACUUCAGUUGUGUCCACCUCUUCAGGACACUAUGGACUGUAGCAUGCCAGGCUCCUCUGUCCAUGGGAUUAUCCAGGCAAGAAUACUGGAGUGGAUUGCCGUGCCCUCCUCCAGUGGAUCUUCUCCACCCAGGGAUCAAACCUGUACCUCCUGCAUUGCAGGUACAUUCUUUACCCCUGAGCCACCAGGAAAGCCCCUUGAACACAGUAUGUCUCUCUAUUCACUUAGGCAUUUUUGCCAGAUUUAUCCCUAUGUAUUUCAUUUUUUGAAUGUCAUGUAAAUGAUUUUAAAAAUUGUUUCAGUUUCCAUUUAUUCAUUACUAGUAAAUAAAUAUACGAGUUUAAAAAUAUCAACCUUGUGUUCUGCAAACCUGCUUAAUUCACUUACUAGUUCUAAUGGCUAUUUGGGGGUAAAUUCCAUCAGGUUUUCUAUCCAUACAGUCAUAUCAUCUAUGAAUAAAGACAGUUUUAUUUCUCCCUUUCCAAACUAGAUGUUUCUUUUUUUUCUCUUG